CAGUCGCCGCGGUAAUACGUAGGUGGCAAGCGUUGUCCGGAAUUAUUGGGCGUAAAGGGCCCGCAGGCGUCUUCUUAAGUCUGAUGUGAAAGCCCCCGGCUCAACCGGGGAGGGUCAUUGGAAACUGGGAAACUUGAGUGCAGAAGAGGAGAGUGGAAUUCCACGUGUAGCGGUGAAAUGCGUAGAGAUGUGGAGGAACACCAGUGGCGAAGGCGACUCUCUGGUCUGUAACUGACGCUGAGGAGCGAAAGCGUGGGGAGCGAACAGGAUUAGAUACCCCCGUAGUCCUGUCUCUUAUACA
Molecule: ribosomal RNA, 301 nt
Filed under: uncultured bacterium
Lineage: Bacteria
Description: partial 16S ribosomal RNA
Rfam family: Bacterial small subunit ribosomal RNA
Source: RNAcentral